Molecule: ribosomal RNA, 465 nt
Filed under: uncultured bacterium
Lineage: Bacteria
Description: bacterial SSU rRNA
Rfam family: Bacterial small subunit ribosomal RNA
Source: RNAcentral
CCUACGGGUGGCACCAGUGGGGAAUAUUACACAAUGGGCGCAAGCCUGAUCCAGCAAUGCCGCGUGUGUGAAGAAGGCCUUCGGGUUGUAAAGCACUUUUAUCAGGAACGAAAUACCACGGGUUAAUACCCUAUGGGCCUGACGGUACCUGAGGAAUAAGCACCGGCUAACUUCGUGCCAGCAGCCGCGGUAAUAUGAAGGGUGCAAGCGUUAAUCGGAAUUACUGGGCGUAAAGCGUGCGUAGGCGGUUUGUUAAGUCUGCUGUGAAAGCCCUGGGCUCAACCUGGGAAUGGCAGUGGAAACUGGCGAGCUAGAGUGUGAUAGAGGAUGGUGGAAUUCCCGGUGUAGCGGUGAAAUGCGUAGAGAUCGGGAGGAACAUCAGUGGCGAAGGCGGCCAUCUGGAUCGACACUGACGCUGAGGCACGAAAGCGUGGGGGGCAAACAGGAUUAGAUACCCCCGUAGUC